AUCAGUGUGGUGCAGUGGUUUGAGCGCUGGACUGGGACUCUGGGAGACCAGGGUUCGAAUCCCCACUUGGUCA
This 73-nucleotide transfer RNA is filed under the name Phrynosoma platyrhinos (Desert horned lizard). RNAcentral describes it as "tRNA-OTHER". The record is from RNAcentral. Lineage: Eukaryota; Metazoa; Chordata; Lepidosauria; Squamata; Phrynosomatidae.